RNAcentral lists this transfer RNA (75 nucleotides) under Rickettsiaceae bacterium. RNAcentral describes it as "tRNA-Asn". It matches the Rfam family "tRNA". Rfam says of the family: Transfer RNA (tRNA) molecules are approximately 80 nucleotides in length. Their secondary structure includes four short double-helical elements and three loops (D, anti-codon, and T loops). Further hydrogen bonds mediate the characteristic L-shaped molecular structure. tRNAs have two regions of fundamental functional importance: the anti-codon, which is responsible for specific mRNA codon recognition, and the 3' end, to which the tRNAs corresponding amino acid is attached (by aminoacyl-tRNA synthetases). tRNAs cope with the degeneracy of the genetic code in two manners: having more than one tRNA (with a specific anti-codon) for a particular amino acid; and 'wobble' base-pairing, i.e. permitting non-standard base-pairing at the 3rd anti-codon position. RNAcentral also lists the same sequence under 1 other name. The record is from RNAcentral. Lineage: Bacteria; Pseudomonadati; Pseudomonadota; Alphaproteobacteria; Rickettsiales; Rickettsiaceae.
UCCCCGGUAGCUCAGUGGUAGAGCAAACGGCUGUUAACCGUUCGGUCGCUGGUUCGAGUCCGGCCCGGGGAGCCA